CACGUAGGGGGCAAGCGUUGUCCGGAAUUAUUGGGCGUAAAGAGCUCGUAGGCGGUUUGGUAAGUCAGAUGUGAAAACUCAGGGCUCAACCCGGAGAGGCCAUCUGAUACUGCCAUGACUAGAGUCCGGUAGAGGAGUGUGGAAUUCCUGGUGUAGCGGUGAAAUGCGCAGAUAUCAGGAGGAACACCAACGGCGAAGGCAGCACUCUGGGCCGGUACUGACGCUGAGGAGCGAAAGCGUGGGGAGCAAACAGGAUUAGAUACCCCCGUA
This 270-nucleotide ribosomal RNA is filed under the name uncultured prokaryote. Its description in RNAcentral is "partial 16S ribosomal RNA". It matches the Rfam family "Bacterial small subunit ribosomal RNA", at positions 524 to 792 of the family's 1533-position model. The record is from RNAcentral.